GCCGGGAUUUCGGGAUCAGGACCCCUCCUACCUCAAAUGGUAGCUCCCUCCGACAAUAAAAUUUUAACAAAAUAAAUAAGAAUCCCUGGACAAUUACACAAUUCUUAUGUUUGUAGAUCUUCUUAUCAAAUUGAUUAAAUCAAAACUGAAUUGACUCCACAAUACUUUUUUUUUAAACAAAACAUGAGGUUUGAUUUUUAAGGAAAUACACUAUGGCCUUAGUAAUACAUGUAGUAAUGUAAAAAAGAUUACGAAUAAUUUAUAAUUUUAUAAUUGCUGUCAUAUUUUUUAAAGUGCAAUUGAAUAUUUAUUGCAUGAUUUAUAUUCAUGUAAAAAGUUAGAAGAUACCCAGAGGGAUAAUCAACCACCAGUGCAUCAUUUACAUGUCACGGAACAAGGCAAAAAGAAGGAAAAAAACGUCCUUUUCAGUCCAAAAAACACUACACAUAUUUUUGCUUUCUUAAUUUAUCUGAAUAAAAAAAACUAUAUCUUUCUAGUAUUUUUUUCCAACCCUUAUCCUGACAGGUGUAGAAAAUUAACGGGUGUCUUCUAUUCCGUCCGCAAUUUUAGGGAAAGUAAAGUCUAUAUUUAGAAUCAUAGUUGAAACUGAAACUACAUAUGUAUGAUAUAAAUAGAACAUGUCAUUUUCGCUUUAUCAAAUUAAAAUUUCGAAGGGAUAGCAAAAUUUGUUAUUUUCUUUUGUUGUGCAUUUGUCAUGUUAA
Molecule: long non-coding RNA, 722 nt
Filed under: Mytilus galloprovincialis (Mediterranean mussel)
Lineage: Eukaryota; Metazoa; Mollusca; Bivalvia; Mytilida; Mytilidae
Source: RNAcentral